UGAAAUUCAAACUCGAAUUAAACUAAUAGGUAUUUUGCCAUCAAAAGGAUGAUUGGUGGCAUAAAGAGAACAAAUUAUUUACAAACAAGUACCGGUCCUACUCGUUCAUUAUAUGGUAUACAACAAAACAAAAAAGUGUACAUGCAUAUUCAUAGGUAAAUUCCCCUUAAAAGAGGGAACUAUUAAAAAAGACCAAGAAAAACCCAAGUUGGGCAGUUACCAUCAGCUUCCAUUUGGCACAUCUGAAAGUCCCAAAUUCAUGUACACAAAACCUCAAUUGAUCCUUCUAAGAAUAACAUCUGACGAGACCAGAUGUAUCUAGACAUCUCAGCUCAUAUGUUGUGUGACCUUCAUUCACAAGACAAAAGAGAGUACCCCCUUAUCCUAUAUGCAAUUUGUUUUAUCGGCGUCCAGAGAGACGUUAUCGACGUAUUGUGAGCGUUAUCGUAGUUGAUAAUGAACGAAAUUCUUGAAUCUAAUAUGUAAAAGUACUAUGGAGAUUUCUGUACUAAAAGUUAAAUUGCAUUUUGCCAUUCUAAUAAAAAAAUAGGUAAAUUAGCCCCUAUAUGGUAGAUCAAAAAACAAAUUGAUCAAAUAUGUUACAAAUUUUAUCCAUUUGUAUUAUUGAAAACUGGCGUGGCUGAUGGACUAACCAAACAGUGAUACGUGGCAUGCCAUAUGUACCUCGUGCUGAUGUACAAGGACCAUUUUUAGCAGAAAGAUCAGUUUGCUCUUUGAUCUAACAUACAAUGACUAGUUUACCCUUUUUUUAGUAAAGGAAGUAAAAUGCAAUUCGACUCUUAAUAAGAGGCUUCCAUUGUACUUUACAAUUGUAACGAUGAGAAAAUGAUUGGAAUUUGCAAAGUCGUAUAAACUUUUUGUUAGGGCCCCACCUGAACCUAACCUGUCCC
This 911-nucleotide long non-coding RNA is filed under the name Gossypium barbadense (sea-island cotton). Its description in RNAcentral is "long non-coding RNA (GBAR_LNC014647)". Lineage: Eukaryota; Viridiplantae; Streptophyta; Magnoliopsida; Malvales; Malvaceae. The record is from RNAcentral.